RNAcentral lists this ribosomal RNA (990 nucleotides) under Pediococcus acidilactici. Its description in RNAcentral is "bacterial SSU rRNA". It matches the Rfam family "Bacterial small subunit ribosomal RNA", at positions 536 to 1533 of the family's 1533-position model. The record is from RNAcentral. Lineage: Bacteria; Bacillati; Bacillota; Bacilli; Lactobacillales; Lactobacillaceae.
ACCGGUUAUCCGGGAUUUAUUGCGGCGUAAGCGAGCGCAGGCGGUCUUUUAAGUCUAAUGUGAAAGCCUUCGGCUCAACCGAAGAAGUGCAUUGGAAACUGGGAGACUUGAGUGCAGAAGAGGACAGUGGAACUCCAUGUGUAGCGGUGAAAUGCGUAGAUAUAUGGAAGAACACCAGUGGCGAAGGCGGCUGUCUGGUCUGUAACUGACGCUGAGGCUCGAAAGCAUGGGUAGCGAACAGGAUUAGAUACCCUGGUAGUCCAUGCCGUAAACGAUGAUUACUAAGUGUUGGAGGGUUUCCGCCCUUCAGUGCUGCAGCUAACGCAUUAAGUAAUCCGCCUGGGGAGUACGACCGCAAGGUUGAAACUCAAAAGAAUUGACGGGGGCCCGCACAAGCGGUGGAGCAUGUGGUUUAAUUCGAAGCUACGCGAAGAACCUUACCAGGUCUUGACAUCUUCUGCCAACCUAAGAGAUUAGGCGUUCCCUUCGGGGACAGAAUGACAGGUGGUGCAUGGUUGUCGUCAGCUCGUGUCGUGAGAUGUUGGGUUAAGUCCCGCAACGAGCGCAACCCUUAUUACUAGUUGCCAGCAUUCAGUUGGGCACUCUAGUGAGACUGCCGGUGACAAACCGGAGGAAGGUGGGGACGACGUCAAAUCAUCAUGCCCCUUAUGACCUGGGCUACACACGUGCUACAAUGGAUGGUACAACGAGUCGCGAAACCGCGAGGUUUAGCUAAUCUCUUAAAACCAUUCUCAGUUCGGACUGUAGGCUGCAACUCGCCUACACGAAGUCGGAAUCGCUAGUAAUCGCGGAUCACAUGCCGCGGGGGAAAUACGUUCCCCGGGCCUUGUACACACCGCCCGUCACACCAUGGAGAGUUUGUAACACCCAAAGCCGGUGGGGUAACCUUUUAGGAGCUAGCCGUCUAAGGUGGGACAGAUGAUUAAGGUGAUCUAGAGGGAGGGCCCCCCAAAAAAAAAAAAAAGAGGA